UGAGAAGCAAGAUCUUCCAAGCAGAAAUCAAAAUUUAUCAUGGCAAGAGAUGGAUCAUUAGACCUCUAGGCCAAGGCCAGUAAUUUAAAUCAAGAAAGAACAACGUGCAAACAAGAGUUGGUAACAAUCAAUAUGCUUUGGGGAUCAUGUGAAACACAAAGAAAAUGUCAGUUCAUGAGCAAUACAACAGAUGGAGGAUAUUGAUCCUGAAUGGAGAAAAGGUAUUUUUUGUGAUAAGGGCAACAAAGAAAGUGGUUAGUCAAUAAACAAGCAAGGUCUUUGAGUGGAAAUCGGUUAUCAUGGGAAGUGAAAGGGCAAUCGCUCUAAAAGUCAAAGCCACAAACCAAACACCAUAUUUAUAAACUCACAAGUUCUGUUUGUUUGAAAC
This 388-nucleotide long non-coding RNA is filed under the name Nicotiana benthamiana. Its description in RNAcentral is "long non-coding RNA (NBEN_LNC028102)". The record is from RNAcentral. Lineage: Eukaryota; Viridiplantae; Streptophyta; Magnoliopsida; Solanales; Solanaceae.